Molecule: ribosomal RNA, 253 nt
Filed under: uncultured bacterium
Lineage: Bacteria
Description: partial 16S ribosomal RNA
Rfam family: Bacterial small subunit ribosomal RNA
Source: RNAcentral
UACGUAGGGGGCAAGCGUUGUCCGGAUUUAUUGGGCGUAAAGAGCGUGUAGGCGGCUUUACAGGUCCGUUGUGAAAACUCGAGGCUCAACCUCGAGACGCCGGUGGAAACCGUAAGGCUAGAGUCCGGAAGAGGAGAGUGGAAUUCCUGGUGUAGCGGUGAAAUGCGCAGAUAUCAGGAAGAACACCCGUGGCGAAGGCGGCUCUCUAGGACGGUACUGACGCUGAGGCGCGAAGGCCAGGGGAGCAAACGGG